UACGAAGGGUGCAAGCGUUACUCGGAAUUACUGGGCGUAAAGCGUGCGUAGGUGGUUUGUUAAGUCUGAUGUGAAAUCCCCGGGCUCAACCUGGGAAUGGCAUUGGAUACUGGCAGGCUAGAGUGCGGUAGAGGGUGGUGGAAUUCCCGGUGUAGCAGUGAAAUGCGUAGAGAUCGGGAGGAACACCAGUGGCGAAGGCGGCUACCUGGACCAGCACUGACACUGAGGCACGAAAGCGUGGGGAGCAAACAGG
Molecule: ribosomal RNA, 253 nt
Filed under: uncultured bacterium
Lineage: Bacteria
Description: partial 16S ribosomal RNA
Rfam family: Bacterial small subunit ribosomal RNA
Source: RNAcentral